CCCAUGAGUACCUUUAAGCAGGGCCGGUGCAAGGAUUUUUGCCGCCCUAGGCAAAAGUAAAGUUUGCCGCCCCCCCAUGUGACAUCACAAUGCCCCACCCAUAUGAUCUGCCAUGUUAACUAACGCCAGUGCUGCAGUGCCGUCGUGUUUACAUUAAAAGGCCUGCAGGGACAGGCUAUGGACACCAGAACCACUACAUUAAGCUGAAGUGGUUCUGGGGACUGGAGAUUAGUGCCACGAAUAAUAUACUAGAUUGCCUACUUACAACCAGAUGAGGAUGAUGAUGGGCUCUAGCUGCCGUCUGGCUCCACUGGUCCGGUGUAGAACAGGCUCACUGGAGGCUGUUUGUAACUGUGGUCACAAAAAUCAAUGUUCUGGGAGAAUGGGAAGCAGCUCCAUUUUUUUUAAGGCCCUUUACACAGCUCAAGGUCUGGGUCCCUGGGUCCACUUUCAUGUUCCACCAAUGAGUUUGUUCACAGGGGGUGGAGUAGGGGGAUGUCCGGAUAUGUGUGUAAGGAAUGCAUUGUGUGAAUCUGUGUUUGUACGUGUAAG
This is a non-coding RNA of Pelobates cultripes (western spadefoot toad), 552 nucleotides long. Lineage: Eukaryota; Metazoa; Chordata; Amphibia; Anura; Pelobatidae. The record is from the annotation of a GenBank genome assembly.